This 163-nucleotide ribosomal RNA is filed under the name uncultured bacterium. RNAcentral describes it as "partial 16S rRNA". It matches the Rfam family "Bacterial small subunit ribosomal RNA", at positions 355 to 511 of the family's 1533-position model. The record is from RNAcentral.
UAGGGAAUCUUCCACAAUGGGCGAAAGCCUGAUGGAGCAACGCCGCGUGUGUGAUGAAGGGUUUCGGCUCGUAAACACUGUUGUAAGAGAAGAAUGACAUUGAGAGUAACUGUUCAAUGUGUGACGGUAUCUUAUCAGAAAGGAACGGCUAAAUACGUGCCAG